This is a long non-coding RNA of Echinops telfairi (small Madagascar hedgehog), 564 nucleotides long. RefSeq lists it as uncharacterized. The record is from RefSeq and is a predicted model, not a curated record. NCBI's taxonomy places the organism in Eukaryota, Metazoa, Chordata, Mammalia, Afrosoricida, Tenrecidae. The transcript has 2 exons.
GCUAGGAGAGAACCCCUGGGUGCUUCUGCUUAGUUGCUCCUUAGAUGCUGGUCUUGUGCCUGCCAGGCGGUAGUGCUUGAGCGAAUGCUGUUCAUUUACCCAUUUUCCUUGUGGCUUGCUGUCGGCCAGAUCUAGUUGUUACAACUUCGCUUUACAAUGGGAGUUAACAUUCCUUGUGUUUCGCCCUUUCUAAUUUGUCCAGAAGCUCAGACCCAGAAUUCUUGGGGGAGUUGAGAGCUUUUCCGCCUGUGCCAUUGCGUUCACAGAGGCCAGUGGAAGCAAGAAGUCCGAGAAUGGGUUGCUGUGAGUCAGAACCUACUUGAUUGCACCUCACAACCACCACAGCAAUUGCAAAAGGAGCCCGGGUGGCCUGGUGGGUGACGAACCACAAAGGCAGCACUUGGAAACCACCAGCUACUCCGAGUGAGAAAGAGGAGGCUUUCUGCUGGAGUAAAGAUUGAUAGUCUGGGACGUUUGAACAGAUCACUGAAUCUGAACAGACUGGACGUCACUGAGUUUGGUUUGGUUAUUUUUGAGUGAUUAAAAAUUCCUGAAAAAUUCCAA